This 482-nucleotide ribosomal RNA is filed under the name uncultured bacterium. RNAcentral's name for it is "bacterial SSU rRNA". It matches the Rfam family "Bacterial small subunit ribosomal RNA", at positions 40 to 507 of the family's 1533-position model. The record is from RNAcentral.
CGGUGUGCUUAACACAUGCAAGUGGAGCGACGAACCAGAGCUUGCUCUGGGGCAGAGCCGCGAACGGGUGAGUAACACGUGGGUAACGUAACCCCGAUUACCGGGGACAACCCGAGGAAACUCGGGCUAAUACCGGAUGUGCUCCCUCCCCAUGAGGGGAGUGAGUAAAGGAAGCUUCGGCCUCCGAAUCGGGAGCGGCCCGCGGCCUAUUAGUUGUUGGUGGGGUAACGGCCUACCAAGACUGCGAUAGGUAGCUGGUCUGAGAGGACGAUCAGCCACACUGGGACUGAGACACGGCCCAGACUCCUACGGGAGGCAGCAGUGGGGAAUCUUGCGCAAUGCGCGAAAGCGUGACGCAGCAACACCGCGUGGGGGAAGACGGCCUUCGGGUUGUAAACCCCUUUCAGGAGGGACGAAGGCCGGCCGGUGAAUAGCCGUGCCGGUUGACGGUACCUCCACAAGAAGCCCCGGCUAACUACGUG